AUUGAACGCUGGCGGCAUGCUUUACACAUGCAAGUCGAACGGCAGCGCGGGCUUCGGCCUGGCGGCGAGUGGCGAACGGGUGAGUAAUACAUCGGAACGUGCCCAGUAGUGGGGAUAGCUCGGCGAAAGCCGGAUUAAUACCGCAUACGACCUGAGGGUGAAAGCGGGGGAUCUUCGGACCCCGCGCUAUUGGAGCGGCCGAUGGCAGAUUAGCUAGUUGGUGGGGUAAAGGCCUACCAAGGCGACGAUCUGUAGCUGGUCUGAGAGGACGACCAGCCACACUGGGACUGAGACACGGCCCAGACUCCUACGGGAGGCAGCAGUGGGGAAUUUUGGACAAUGGGCGAAAGCCUGAUCCAGCAAUGCCGCGUGUGUGAUGAAGGCCUUCGGGUUGUAAAGCACUUUUGGCGGGAACGAAAAGGACUGUGCCAAUACCACGGUUCGAUGACGGUACCCGCAGAAUAAGCACCGGCUAACUACGUG
This 483-nucleotide ribosomal RNA is filed under the name uncultured bacterium. RNAcentral describes it as "partial 16S ribosomal RNA". It matches the Rfam family "Bacterial small subunit ribosomal RNA", at positions 29 to 507 of the family's 1533-position model. The record is from RNAcentral.